RNAcentral lists this small RNA (122 nucleotides) under Marmota monax (woodchuck). The record is from RNAcentral. Lineage: Eukaryota; Metazoa; Chordata; Mammalia; Rodentia; Sciuridae.
GCUGGGUGUGGUGGUGCGUGCCCGUUAUCCCAGCAGCUAGGGAGGCUGAGGCAGGAGGAUCACAAGCUCAAGCCAGCCUCAGUAAGUUAGCAAGGCCCUAAGCAACUAAGACCCUGUCUCAA